UACGUAGGGGGCGAGCGUUGUCCGGAUUUAUUGGGCGUAAAGGGUGCGUAGGUGGGUAGGAAAGUCAGUGGUGAAAUCUUCGGGCUUAACCCGGAAACUGCCAUUGAUACUAUUUAUCUUGAAUACUUUGGAGGUAAGCGGAAUAUGUCAUGUAGCGGUGAAAUGCUUAGAUAUGACAUAGAACACCAAUUGCGAAGGCAGCUCACUACGCGAAUAUUGACACUGAGGCACGAAAGCGUGGGGAUCAAACAGG
RNAcentral lists this ribosomal RNA (253 nucleotides) under uncultured bacterium. RNAcentral's name for it is "partial 16S ribosomal RNA". It matches the Rfam family "Bacterial small subunit ribosomal RNA", at positions 524 to 776 of the family's 1533-position model. The record is from RNAcentral.